CAGGACGAACGCUGGCGGCGUGCCUAACACAUGCAAGUCGAACGGAGUUGAGGAGCUUGCUCCUUAACUUAGUGGCGGACGGGUGAGUAACGCGUGAGUAACCUGCCUCUGAGAGGGGAAUAACGUUCUGAAAAGGACGCUAAUACCGCAUAACACAUAUUUGCCGCAUGACAGAUAUGUCAAAGAUUUUUAUCGCUCGGAGAUGGACUCGCGUCCGAUUAGUUAGUUGGUGAGGUAACGGCUCACCAAGACCGCGAUCGGUAGCCGGACUGAGAGGUUGAUCGGCCACAUUGGGACUGAGACACGGCCCAGACUCCUACGGGAGGCAGCAGUGGGGGAUAUUGCGCAAUGGGGGCAACCCUGACGCAGCAACGCCGCGUGAAGGAUGAAGGUUUUCGGAUUGUAAACUUCUUUUCUCAGGGACGAAGAAUGACGGUACCUGAGGAAUAAGCUCCGGCUAACUACGUGCCAGCAGCCGC
Molecule: ribosomal RNA, 479 nt
Filed under: uncultured bacterium
Lineage: Bacteria
Description: bacterial SSU rRNA
Rfam family: Bacterial small subunit ribosomal RNA
Source: RNAcentral